UGAGCAAUCUGCCCUUCUCAUCGGAAUAAGCGUUGGAAACGACGUCUAAUGCCGAAUACGACCUCCUUUCACAUGAUCGGAGGUGGAAAGCUCCGGCGGAGAAGGAUGAGCUCGCGGCCUAUCAGCUAGUUGGCGAGGUAACGGCUCACCAAGGCAACGACGGGUAGCUGGUCUGAGAGGAUGGCCAGCCACAUUGGGACUGAGAUACCGGCCCAGAUCCGUAACGGG
This 228-nucleotide ribosomal RNA is filed under the name uncultured bacterium. Its description in RNAcentral is "partial 16S ribosomal RNA". It matches the Rfam family "Bacterial small subunit ribosomal RNA", at positions 118 to 347 of the family's 1533-position model. The record is from RNAcentral.